RNAcentral lists this ribosomal RNA (819 nucleotides) under uncultured Actinomycetes bacterium. RNAcentral describes it as "bacterial SSU rRNA". It matches the Rfam family "Bacterial small subunit ribosomal RNA", at positions 335 to 1167 of the family's 1533-position model. Lineage: Bacteria; Bacillati; Actinomycetota; Actinomycetes. The record is from RNAcentral.
ACUCCUACGGGAGGCAGCAGUGGGGAAUAUUGCACAAUGGGCGCAAGCCUGAUGCAGCAACGCCGCGUGAGGGACGACGGCCUUCGGGUUGUAAACCUCUUUUAGUAGGGAAGAAGCGAAAGUGACGGUACCUGCAGAAAAAGCACCGGCUAACUACGUGCCAGCAGCCGCGGUAAUACGUAGGGUGCAAGCGUUAUCCGGAAUUAUUGGGCGUAAAGAGCUCGUAGGCGGUCUGUCGCGUCUGCUGUGAAAACUGGGGGCUCAACCCCCAGCCUGCAGUGGGUACGGGCAGACUAGAGUGCGGUAGGGGAGAUUGGAAUUCCUGGUGUAGCGGUGGAAUGCGCAGAUAUCAGGAGGAACACCGAUGGCGAAGGCAGAUCUCUGGGCCGUAACUGACGCUGAGGAGCGAAAGCAUGGGGAGCGAACAGGAUUAGAUACCCUGGUAGUCCAUGCCGUAAACGUUGGGAACUAGAUGUAGGGACCAUUCCACGGUUUCUGUGUCGCAGCUAACGCAUUAAGUUCCCCGCCUGGGGAGUACGGCCGCAAGGCUAAAACUCAAAGGAAUUGACGGGGGCCCGCACAAGCGGCGGAGCAUGCGGAUUAAUUCGAUGCAACGCGAAGAACCUUACCAAGGCUUGACAUAUACCGGAAAAGGCUGGAAACAGUCUCCCCGCAAGGUCGGUAUACAGGUGGUGCAUGGUUGUCGUCAGCUCGUGUCGUGAGAUGUUGGGUUAAGUCCCGCAACGAGCGCAACCCUCGUUCUAUGUUGCCAGCACGUAAUGGUGGGAACUCAUAGGAGACUGCCGGGGUCAACUCGGA